UCAUUGGAGAGUUUGAUCCUGGCUCAGGACGAACGCUGGCGGCGUGCUUAACACAUGCAAGUCAAGGGGGCUCCGCAAGGAGCAACCGGCGAACGGGUGCGUAACACGUGAGCGACCGACCCUUACGGAUGGGGGAUAGCCAGCCCAACGGCUGGGUAAUACCGCAUACGCUUCUUCUGGGGCAUCCCGGGGGAAGGAAAGCGCUCGAGGCAACUCGAGGGCGUCCGAGGACGGGCUCGCGGCCUAUCAGCUAGUUGGUGGGGUGAUGGCUCACCAAGGCGACGACGGGUAGCUGGUCUGAGAGGAUGGCCAGCCACAUUGGGACUGAGAAACGGCCCAGACUCCUACGGGAGGCAGCAGUGGGGAAUCUUGCGCAAUGGCCGAAAGGCUGACGCAGCGACGCCGCGUGUGGGAGGACGCCCUUCGGGGUGUAAACCACUGUUGCCCGGGACGAAACCGGCUUCGAGCCGAUUGACGGUACCGGGUGAGGAAGCACCGGCUAACUCCGUGCCAGCAGCCGCGGUAAUACGGAGGGUGCGAGCGUUGUCCGGAAUCACUGGGCGUAAAGGGCGCGUAGGCGG
This 581-nucleotide ribosomal RNA is filed under the name Gemmatimonadota bacterium. RNAcentral's name for it is "bacterial SSU rRNA". It matches the Rfam family "Bacterial small subunit ribosomal RNA", at positions 1 to 578 of the family's 1533-position model. The record is from RNAcentral. Lineage: Bacteria; Pseudomonadati; Gemmatimonadota.